CAAUAGCGUAUAUUAAAGUUGUUGCAGUUAAAAAGCUCGUAGUUGGAUUUCUGAAUUGAAUAUCCGGUCCGCUCGUCUCUGAUGAGUGCGUACUUAUGGAUCUUGGAUUCAUUUUUUGUGAGGACAUUUAUCUGUCAUUAAGUUGAUGGAUUUAUAGACUUGCAUCGUUUACUGUGAAAAAAUUAGAGUGUUUAAAGCAGGCGUUCGCCCAUUUGAAUACAUUAGCAUGGAAUAAUAAGAUAUGACUUUGGUGGUCUAUUUUGUUGGUUUGCACACCAGAGUAAUGAUUAAUAGGGACAGUUGGGGGUAUUCAUAUUUCAACGUCAGAGGUGAAAUUCUUAGAUCGUUGAAAGAUGACCUUAGGCGAAAGCAUUUACCAUGGAUGUUUUCAUUAA
RNAcentral lists this ribosomal RNA (395 nucleotides) under uncultured eukaryote. RNAcentral's name for it is "partial 18S ribosomal RNA". It matches the Rfam family "Eukaryotic small subunit ribosomal RNA", at positions 592 to 976 of the family's 1831-position model. The record is from RNAcentral.